GGGAAGGUGGCUCAGUGGUAGAGUGCUUGCCUUGCAUGCAUGAGGCUCUGGAUUCAGAUUUCUCA
Molecule: transfer RNA, 65 nt
Filed under: Dipodomys ordii (Ord's kangaroo rat)
Lineage: Eukaryota; Metazoa; Chordata; Mammalia; Rodentia; Heteromyidae
Rfam family: tRNA
About the family: Transfer RNA (tRNA) molecules are approximately 80 nucleotides in length.
Source: Rfam by way of RNAcentral